CAGCCGCCGCGGUAAUACGUAGGGUGCAAGCAUUAAUUGGAAUUACUGGGCGUAAAGCGUGCGCAGGCGGUUUUGUAAGACAGAGGUGAAAUCCCCGGGCUCAACCUGGGAACUGCCUUUGUGACUGCAAGGCUAGAGUACGGCAGAGGGGGAUGGAAUUCCGCGUGUAGCAGUGAAAUGCGUAGAUAUGCGGAGGAACACCGAUGGCGAAGGCAAUCCCCUGGGCCUGUACUGACGCUCAUGCACGAAAGCGUGGGGAGCAAACAGGAUUAGAUACCCGAGUAGUCCCUGUCUCUUAUAC
This 301-nucleotide ribosomal RNA is filed under the name uncultured bacterium. RNAcentral's name for it is "partial 16S ribosomal RNA". It matches the Rfam family "Bacterial small subunit ribosomal RNA", at positions 509 to 807 of the family's 1533-position model. The record is from RNAcentral.